GCAUAUCAAUAAGCGGAGGAAAAGAAACCAACAGGGAUUGCCUCAGUAACGGCGAGUGAAGCGGCAAAAGCUCAAAUUUGAAGUCUAGCACCUUCGGUGUUCGAGUUGUAAUUUGAAGAUGGUAACCUUGGGUUUGGCUCUUGUCUAUGUUCCUUGGAACAGGACGUCAUAGAGGGUGAGAAUCCCGUCUGAUGAGAUGCCCAUUCCUAUGUAAGGUGCUAUCGAAGAGUCGAGUUGUUUGGGAAUGCAGCUCUAAGUGGGUGGUAAAUUCCAUCUAAAGCUAAAUAUUGGCGAGAGACCGAUAGCGAACAAGUACCGUGAGGGAAAGAUGAAAAGCACUUUGGAAAGAGAGUUAAACAGUAUGUGAAAUUGUUGAAAGGGAAACGAUUGAGUCAGUCGUGCUCUUUGGAUUCAGCCGAUUCUGCCGGUGUACUUCCUUUGAGUGGGGUCAACAUCAGUUUUGAUCGCUGGAUAAAGGCAGGAGGAACGUAGUACCCUCGGGUAAACUUAUAGCCUCUUGUCACAUACAGUGGUUGGGACUGAGGAACGCAGCACGCCCUUAUGGCCGGGAUUCGUCCACGUACGUGCUUAGGAUGUUGACAUAAUGGCUUUAAACGACCCGUCUUGAAACACGGACC
RNAcentral lists this ribosomal RNA (638 nucleotides) under uncultured fungus. RNAcentral describes it as "LSU rRNA". It matches the Rfam family "Eukaryotic large subunit ribosomal RNA", at positions 38 to 667 of the family's 3401-position model. Lineage: Eukaryota; Fungi. The record is from RNAcentral.